UUUCCCUCUUCGACUCACUUUGGCAAAUUUUCCUAGUUUUUCUAUCUCUGUCUCUCAAUCUUUCCUCUAUCGUCACCAUCUUUCUAAAGUAGUUUAUCACCAUCGCCGGUCGGUUCGUGCGUCGUUGGAUUGUAGCUGGGUGGCUGGUUUUGGCGCGUGGAGAAACGAAGCAGUGUAGGCGAGGAAUAGUGAAGAAUUUAAAGAAAGAAUUUGGAAGAAAACCUUGGAGAAAAAAUCUCAGUGGUGCUGACCUUGAAGAAUGUGGCCAAGAUGAUGUGCAUGUUAAGGAUUUCUUGCCUGCAAUGAAAGCUGUUUGUGAUAGACUUGAGCAAGCCGAAGGCAAGGUCUGCUCUAUUUGAAUUUGUGAAUCUGAAUAAUUUUUGUGAAGGCAUCUUUGAAUUAUUGGUCACCUAGUAUUAUUGAUUGCAAUGGUCACCUUAUUUUUCAGUGGCACUUUUUUUCCUUGAAGGUUCUCGUGAUCUCACAUAUAAAAUAGGAGCUUGGCUAUCGAGAAACGAAAGGACAUAUAGCUUGGAGGUUUACUUAAGGUUUGAAAUCAGAGGAUUUGAUUAAGGUUUAUGAAUCUUUAAAUGAUACUAGGAGAUUGGCUAGUUAUCACUCUACUCUUUUGCUCCCGUUGUUGGAACCGGUUGUUGUGGUGUUGGUGAAGGCUAUGAAGAAUCCAAGAAGUGCUUUGUGCAAGACAUCUAUUAUGGCUGCUACUAAUAUCUUUGUUACUUGUCAUGAUAAGUUGUUGGAACCUGAUUUCUCUGGUGGUUUUGAGUUUUGACAAUUUGGUAAAACCUCGUUUAUUAGUUCUUGCUCCUACUAUGUGCAUUUUUUCACAAGAAUGGCUGAAUUUUGUAGAGUUCAACCUUUUGUCAUAUGUUUUAUCCAUGUUAUUCGUUGCCCGAUGAUCUAAUUUUCCAAUUUUAGAUUAAAUUGAGUGGUGUUUGGCCGACAAAUAAUUGUUGGUUGGGGAAAAAGAUCGAGAACUUUAUGAAAGACUUUGGGGCCUGUAAUUAUUUCUCCUUAUAUCUAUGUUGGUGGUUCGUUGUCUUUAUAUCUUGUUCAUGAUGUUAUUGGUCUUUCCUCUAGUAAUGGUUUAUCAUCUAUUGUUUGUUUAAGUUUAAACUUGUUUUCAUAUGAACUUACCUGUAUUGAAUCAUUGCUUCUUUCGUUUCCCUUGUCUAUUUAUUUGGCUAGUUAUGUUUGUUUAGUUAUGCAAAUAUUUUGUGUUUGAUUUCAUGAAUUAUUAGCUAUUUGAUAUUUAGCUUAGUGAUGGACACUGAUCAGAUUUCAAGGAAAGAGACACAAUUCGUUUUUUAAAUCACUUUGUUCUCGUUGGAACAGUUUGAAGGUCUGACUUCUCUGGGCUCAUUCUCCUUUGUUGCAAACUCUUUUCAGGUGAUUCUUUUUUUGAAUUUGGGUGAUUUUUUGUCUACUCUUUGGCUGUUAAAUUUCAGGUUUUUUUGAGUUUGUUUGCUAAACUGGGUUGUCUUCUGAAAACUGGUCAAUUGUGGUUCGAUUUGGUAUAUGCUUCUGUUUUAGUUCAUUUUUCUUAGAGUUGUGCUGCGAUUUUUGCUGGUAUAUUCAUGUGUGGUUUAGGGUGUUUUAAGAGUGCUUUGCUCAUAUAAAUUGCAUCCUUGCUACUGCUAUACUCUGGUUUCUUGCUUUGUUUUGUGCACAUAUUUUGUGCGUAUCGUAAAACAUGGGUGAAGAAGAUAUAAACAAACUGGAGGAAAGGUUGACUGAUCAAGCGGAAGCUAGCUUUGAUGCCAUUGCUAAGUUGUUACAAGUUCGUAAAAAGAAGAAAGAAUGGAAAGAUAAUGAUGAUGAGUUUUCAAGUAUUCUUUGCUAUUCUGAAGUGACAGACAAGUCCGGUUUUAAGUAUAUAUUCAAGUUAGCAUUUUUGAGAAAUAGAUAUCUUGUUUUUUUGUUCUUGGAAGAUGGAAUGAUUGAUUUUAAUGUAGAUACAUGUACUGAUAUUAUUACACUUUGGAAUUGUAAUUGAUUUUUUUUUUUUUUUUUGUUUUGGAAAAUUGUAAUUUUUUUUUUUAGAUCGAAGUGUAAUAUUGCAGUUUAUUGAUAUUUAUUAAAGAAUAUUUCUAAUUUUAUAAUUUUGUAAGUCUUUAAGUAUCAAUUUAAGGAAGAAAUUGCAGAAUAUACUAUAUAGGUUGACAGGCUUCAUUUCAUUUUAAAUAAAAAAUAUAGAAAAGGCUACGGUUCUGCUGAAAAAAUCGUAGCGUUUUCGUAUUUUUUGCUAUGGU
Long non-coding RNA from Chenopodium quinoa (quinoa), 2270 nucleotides. RefSeq lists it as uncharacterized. The transcript has 3 exons. NCBI's taxonomy places the organism in Eukaryota, Viridiplantae, Streptophyta, Magnoliopsida, Caryophyllales, Amaranthaceae. The record is from RefSeq and is a predicted model, not a curated record.